AUGAACGCUGGCGGCAGGCUUAAUACAUGCAAGUCGAACGGUAAGGCCGAGUGCAGCAAUGCACGAGGUACACGAGUGGCGCACGGGUGCGUAACGCGUAUGCAACCUGCCCCCGACCGGGACAAAACAGCUGGAAACGGCUGCUAAUAUCCCAUGGUUACCGAGGAGGGCAUCCUCCUUUGUAUAAAGAUUUAUUGGUCGGGGAUGGGCAUGCGUAUUAUUAGGUAGUUGGCGGGGUAACGGCCCACCAAGCCGACGAUGAUUAGGGGUCCUGAGAGGGUUAACCCCCACACUGGAACUGAGACACGGUCCAGACUCCUACGGGAGGCAGCAGUAGGGAAUAUUGGGCAAUGGGAGCAAUCCUGACCCAGCCAUGCCGCGUGAAGGAAGACGGCCCUAUGGGUUGUAAACUUCUUUUGCCGCAGAGUAAACCCGGUCACGUGUGGCCGGUUGAGAGUAUGCGGCGAAUAAGUAUCGGCUAACUCCGUGCC
Molecule: ribosomal RNA, 491 nt
Filed under: uncultured bacterium
Lineage: Bacteria
Description: bacterial SSU rRNA
Rfam family: Bacterial small subunit ribosomal RNA
Source: RNAcentral